Molecule: long non-coding RNA, 1181 nt
Organism: Varroa destructor (honeybee mite)
Lineage: Eukaryota; Metazoa; Arthropoda; Arachnida; Mesostigmata; Varroidae
Source: RefSeq, a predicted model, not a curated record
UCUGUUUCUUUUGUGUAAUUUAGCGCUAACGAGGUUAAUCCUUAGACAUUUAAAUUAAUUAUCGCCUGUUGUUAAUUACGUUACGGUAGCGGAGCGGCCCUCUGACCCGUGCCUUUCACAAACGUUUGACUCUUGACGUAUGAACACUAAACCAGACACCAAGCCAAUGCCCGGUGGAGAUUUCUCUGGCUACAACUGGCGCCCAAAUAUCUCAAGGGUCUAAGCUUCCAAAAAGAGAAGAAAUUGGACCUAGCCCCCGAAACCACGCCAGGUCGGGACAGCCUGAAGCCGCAGUUAAAUUGGCAAUAUUCUACCGUUUCGGAACUGGACCAGUUUUACAUGCCUGCUAGAAGGCAGCACCCUCGAAGUGGUCUUAACGUAAGUGCAGGUAGCAUACAAUUCCUACAACCAAUGCGUGCGAUGCAGAUUACCCAUCUCUGCGUUGGCGGUUCGUCCUAAGUCCCAUCGCUCCCCGGUCGAAGCCGGAAAGACGGUUCCGGACGCUAGUGACAGCUCUACGUUAGCUACUUCGUCAGUUGCAAUGGCUGCUGUACCGCCUGAAAUUACUUGCAAAGGCCUUUCUGGUAAAUAGUUACGUCACCUGCUGAUCUUCCGGAAUAUACGGCCGCCUGCUGCGAAUAAGUGCGUGAAGUGACAGCAGUGCGAUGAGCGCGAAAUAUCACUCGACAACGUUCUGAGGUACAGGAUAUCAAGCAGGAAGCUCAUUUCUUCCUUUUCUUUGCAUCAUUUGGUCUCUCGUAAACGUGUGCGCCUGCUACUAAUUCAGUUUAUCGGAAUAGAUGUUUGCUGUCGCAUUCCUCCAUGCCCCCCCCCCCUUGGUACGCGAACGCGCACUAAAGUCCUAGCAAGGCGGAUUCAGGUGCUUCCAUCAACUACGGGCAAGCACAUUUCCAAGAGAAUUAUCUACGCCCUGUAUCGUCGUCAUGUAAUAGGAACAGGACACAGGACAAAAUCUCAGACCAAGAUUCAAGAGGGAAUGGUGUCCUGUCAUGAGCUCAACAGGAAACAGAUGAUAUAUCUCCACAGUCCAGAGCAUUGAUGUGUAGCGUUGUUUGAUUCAAUAAGCUCUUAGGUGUCCACACGCAGUUUUUGAAAAGAGGUAUCACGCGUUUGGAUCUUUGCGCAGAGAAACAAUUUUCCGGACCUGUUUGUGAUAAUAA